This is a small nuclear RNA of Pogona vitticeps (central bearded dragon), 166 nucleotides long. Its record names the gene U1. It matches the Rfam family "U1 spliceosomal RNA". From Rfam's summary of the family: U1 is a small nuclear RNA (snRNA) component of the spliceosome (involved in pre-mRNA splicing). Its 5' end forms complementary base pairs with the 5' splice junction, thus defining the 5' donor site of an intron. NCBI's taxonomy places the organism in Eukaryota, Metazoa, Chordata, Lepidosauria, Squamata, Agamidae. The record is from Ensembl.
ACUCAUACCUUGCAGGGGAAAUACCAUGUCAUAAAAGUGGUUUUCUCAGGGGGAGGCUCAUCCAUUGCACUUUGAGUGUGCUACUGAUCCUUGUGAUUUCCACAAAUGUGGGGAACUCAACUGCAUAAUUUGUGUUGAUGGGGGAUUGCCCUUGUGAUUUCCCUGG